This 327-nucleotide non-coding RNA is filed under the name Taenioma perpusillum. Lineage: Eukaryota; Rhodophyta; Florideophyceae; Ceramiales; Delesseriaceae. The record is from RNAcentral.
GGGACUGAUUGGUUUCUACAUAUUGAUAUAUAUAUACCAAUGUUCGUGUUUAUAACACGAUUAAUCAGGUGUUUAUUGUAUAAUAAGUGCAAAAAGUAAUAUAGUUCUUUUCUCUAAUAAAAAAUUAUUUGUUUAAGUUAUUAGAAUAUCAAAAAAAAGUAAUAAAAUUUUUGAUUUUUCACACUAUAUGCUCUUAAUAACAAAAAAUAAUUGUAGAAAUUAUUUAAAAAUUAAGUUAAGUAUUAAAAAUUAGUCAUUUACAUUUAUCAAUUGAAGUUAUUUUAUUAAAUAUCAAUAUGGACGUGGGUUCAAUUCCCUCCAGUUCCA